GAUGAACGCUAGCGAUAGGCUUAACACAUGCAAGUCGAGGGGCAGCAUUAUUUUAGCUUGCUAAGAUAGAUGGCGACCGGCGCACGGGUGCGUAACGCGUAUGCAACCUGCCUGUAAUUAGGGAAUAAGCCCGGUGAAAGUCGGACUAAUACCCUAUAUUCUUCUUUCUCCGCAUGGGGAAGGACGGAAAGAUUUAUUGAUUACAGAUGGGCAUGCGUCCCAUUAGCUUGUUGGUAAGGUAACGGCUUACCAAGGCAACGAUGGGUAGGGGGACUGAGAGGUUGACCCCCCACACUGGUACUGAGACACGGACCAGACUCCUACGGGAGGCAGCAGUGAGGAAUAUUGGUCAAUGGGCGAGAGCCUGAACCAGCCAAGUCGCGUGAAGGACGACGGUUCUAUGGAUUUUAAACUUCUUUU
RNAcentral lists this ribosomal RNA (420 nucleotides) under Porphyromonas endodontalis. RNAcentral describes it as "bacterial SSU rRNA". It matches the Rfam family "Bacterial small subunit ribosomal RNA", at positions 28 to 437 of the family's 1533-position model. Lineage: Bacteria; Pseudomonadati; Bacteroidota; Bacteroidia; Bacteroidales; Porphyromonadaceae. The record is from RNAcentral.